Molecule: ribosomal RNA, 337 nt
Filed under: Octopus vulgaris (common octopus)
Lineage: Eukaryota; Metazoa; Mollusca; Cephalopoda; Octopoda; Octopodidae
Description: partial 12S ribosomal RNA
Source: RNAcentral
UAUUUAAAACUUAAAAGGUUUGGCGGUUUUACAUAUCCAGUUAGGGGAGUUUGUUAAUAUAAUUUGAUAAUCCACAUUUUAAACUUACUUUUUUUUGAAUUAUAUAUAACAGUUUAUAUAUUGCUGUCGGCAGUUUAUAUUUUAAGAGUAAAAGGACUUUUGAAUUUUAGGAUUUAUAUGUCAAGUCAUAAUGUAGCUGAUAAAGAAGGUUUAAUGGACUACUAUAAUUUAUAUUAUUUACUUAUCCGGAUAAUGAAAAUUAAAUUUUGUUAGUAAGGUGGACUUGAUAGUAAACUUGGUUAUUAGUAUGUGUAGUUGAAUGUGGUUUUGUAAAGUG